This 31-nucleotide ribosomal RNA is filed under the name Ganoderma lucidum. RNAcentral's name for it is "partial 18S ribosomal RNA". Lineage: Eukaryota; Fungi; Basidiomycota; Agaricomycetes; Polyporales; Polyporaceae. The record is from RNAcentral.
GUUUCCGUAGGUGACCUGCGGAAGGAUCAUA